Molecule: non-coding RNA, 401 nt
Organism: Coffea arabica (coffee)
Lineage: Eukaryota; Viridiplantae; Streptophyta; Magnoliopsida; Gentianales; Rubiaceae
Source: RefSeq, a predicted model, not a curated record
CCAAUGCUUUCACUUUGACUGCCAAGAUCAACCCAAAAAAAAUUACGUCAAAUCAUUCUGGAGGGGAAACGAAAAGAAAUUAAGCAUUUGCAUGGUAAUCGAGUGACUUUUAAGAAAUAGAGGAGUUCACAAAGAGAACUACACGCAGUUGGUUUCUUCAGGUUCAGAUAUGGAAAAUCUUUUGCAAUGUGUCUUGCCUACGGUUUUUCAUAUAAAUACUCCAAGAAGAUUAUUCUCAUUGCUUAAAGGGAUAAUAAGGUUGCUCCAGAUCUUCUCUCUCUGCUUGAUCCUCUUUAGCUCCAGAAGCAAGGAAAUUUGGAGAAUCUAUCUCCAAACUAUCUGAUGCAGCCAAGAGAAGAUCAUCACCGAGAAACAUUGAGGGCGAUUUUGCUUCCUUCGGU